CUUCUAUACCAAGAGGUCUGAG
This 22-nucleotide small nuclear RNA is filed under the name Arabidopsis thaliana (thale cress). Its description in RNAcentral is "snRNA_08074". Lineage: Eukaryota; Viridiplantae; Streptophyta; Magnoliopsida; Brassicales; Brassicaceae. The record is from RNAcentral.